UAGGGAAUCUUCCACAAUGGACGCAAGUCUGAUGGAGCAACGCCGCGUGGGUGAAGAAGGUCUUCGGAUCGUAAAACUCUGUUGUUAGAGAAGAACACGAGUGAGAGUAACUGUUCAUUCGAUGACGGUAUCUAACCAGCAAGUCACGGCUAACUACGUGCCAG
RNAcentral lists this ribosomal RNA (164 nucleotides) under uncultured bacterium. RNAcentral's name for it is "partial 16S rRNA". It matches the Rfam family "Bacterial small subunit ribosomal RNA", at positions 355 to 511 of the family's 1533-position model. The record is from RNAcentral.